GAUGAAGAACGCAGCGAAAUGCGAUAAGUAAUGUGAAUUGCAGAAUUCAGUGAAUCAUCGAAUCUUUGAACGCACCUUGCACCCUUUGGCAUUCCGAAGGGUAUGCUCGUUUGAGUGUCAUUGUACUCUCACACUCUCCGAUCCUAUGGAUUCGGGGAGCGGUGGACUUGGGUGUUGCUGCCUUUCCUUGUGGCUCACCUCAAAUGUGUCAGUGCACCUCUUGGUUGGACAUAGUACGGCGUGAUAAGUGUCUUCGCCGGCACCUCGCAAGAGGGUGGCCGAUCGGGAGCUCUGUGCUUUCAAACCGUCUUCGGACAAUUUCUGACAACUUGACCUCAAAUCGAGUAGGACUACCCGCUGAACUUAAGCAUAUCAAUACGCGGAGGA
RNAcentral lists this unclassified non-coding RNA (387 nucleotides) under soil metagenome. RNAcentral's name for it is "partial contains 5.8S ribosomal RNA, internal transcribed spacer 2, and large subunit ribosomal RNA". The stretch from base 1 to 120 matches the Rfam family "5.8S ribosomal RNA", at positions 35 to 154 of the family's 154-position model. The record is from RNAcentral.